RNAcentral lists this ribosomal RNA (494 nucleotides) under Prionotus evolans (striped searobin). RNAcentral's name for it is "partial 16S ribosomal RNA". It matches the Rfam family "Bacterial large subunit ribosomal RNA", at positions 1935 to 2581 of the family's 2925-position model. The record is from RNAcentral. Lineage: Eukaryota; Metazoa; Chordata; Actinopteri; Perciformes; Triglidae.
GGUAUUUUGACCGUGCAAAGGUAGCGCAAUCACUUGUCUUUUAAAUAAAGACCGGUUGAAUGGCAAGACGAGGGCUUGACUGUCUCCUUUUUCAUGUCAAUGAAAUUGAUCUCCCCGUGCAGAAGCGGGGACACCAACAUAAGACGAGAAGACCCUAUGGAGCUUCAGACACGAAAGCAGCCUAUGUCAAUUACUCUGGCACAACAGAAUGAACUAAAUAGGCCUGCCCGAAUGUCUUUGGUUGGGGCGACCGCGGGGAAAUAAAUAACCCCCCAUGUGGAAUGGGAGCACCAUCCUCCUAAAACUAAGAGUGACAACUCUAAGUAACAGAAAUUCUGACCAGCUAGAUCCGGCCAUGCCGAUCAACGGACCGAGUUACCCUAGGGAUAACAGCGCAAUCCUCUUUUAGAGCCCAUAUCGACAAGGGGGUUUACGACCUCGAUGUUGGAUCAGGACAUCCUAAUGGUGUAGCCGCUAUUAAGGGUUCGUUUGUU